This 513-nucleotide long non-coding RNA is filed under the name Phaseolus vulgaris (common bean). RNAcentral describes it as "long non-coding RNA (PVUL_LNC004917)". The record is from RNAcentral. Lineage: Eukaryota; Viridiplantae; Streptophyta; Magnoliopsida; Fabales; Fabaceae.
ACUUUGGUUAAGGGAAGAAUUUUUUUUUUUCAUUGAGUGAGUGUUUUUCUUUCUUUUACCGCAAACAUUACUUGCUUCUAACCUUUUUUCUUAACUUGUUUGUGUUUCUUGUUUGCUUAUUGUGAUGACUCAUUUUUCAAGUGGUGCAUCUUCCAAACCACAAUCCUAUCACAAAGGCCACCUUUUGGGAGAACUUGUGGAGGUCCAAAAAAAACAUGUCCACAAAGAAGAAAACUUAGCAAAUUUGCCAAAAGAUUGCAAAGACUAGAAGAAGCUCAUGCAAGGCAAAAUCCACAAGAAGAGGACGAAUGGAGAUUGCACACUUUUGCCAAACAACACCAUCAACACCAACCACAACAACAACAUUCUUUUAAUUUUGUAAAGUUACCUAGUUUUAGUGGGUCAAAUGACCCUUCUUUGUAUUUAGCAUGAGAAGCUAAGGUUGAACAUCUUUUUAAUGUGUAUAAGGUCACUGAGGACCAAAAGGUUAGGUUAGCUUCCUUAGUUUUUUUA